GCAUAGGUGCACACUUUAUUGACACGUGUGCACCUAUGCCGUCGGUUCUUUGCUAGGAACCGACGGCAUAGGGUCUUGCAGAGUAUAACCUCUGCAUCGUCUUCUUCUUCCUCACUUCUUCUUCUCCAGCAUAUACCCAGCCACUUCUACAGCAGAGAAAACCCACGAAAACCCUCGCCAACCACCUCUAAAAACCCACAUAUCUCACUCAUUUCUUCACCAUUUCACCUCAUUUUUGUCUUAAAAGUUUCUAUUUUCAAUAUCUAAUCCCAUACACUAAAAAAGUUUUGUUUUUUCACCCAUUUACACUGUACCCGAACCUAUUUUAAAAAAAAGUGGUGGUUUAACUCCGACCACCGCUUUUAGCGGAGAAAUCGUUCAAUCUCAACGUUCAUUAAGGUGGCCGGAUUUUUGGUCGCAAUUUGUCGCCGGAUUGCGUUUAUAAGAUAUGGCCAACUCGAGUUCGGGAUCUGAUUCAGACCCAGAGGCAGAGUGUCCAACCACAAUACCUACACGAGGGCCGACGCAAAUGAAUGAAAUAUCCAAACUAAUGGAUCAGGGCAAAAGAGUGGCCCUCGAAGUUAAUGAUAAAGGUCAAUACUGUGGAAAAAGCUACGCGAAGCUCGU
Cannabis sativa is the source of this 627-nucleotide long non-coding RNA. RefSeq lists it as uncharacterized. NCBI's taxonomy places the organism in Eukaryota, Viridiplantae, Streptophyta, Magnoliopsida, Rosales, Cannabaceae. The record is from RefSeq and is a predicted model, not a curated record. The transcript is spliced from 3 exons.